RNAcentral lists this ribosomal RNA (253 nucleotides) under uncultured bacterium. RNAcentral describes it as "partial 16S ribosomal RNA". It matches the Rfam family "Bacterial small subunit ribosomal RNA", at positions 524 to 776 of the family's 1533-position model. The record is from RNAcentral.
GACGUAGGGCGCGAGCGUUGUCCGGAUUUAUUGGGCGUAAAGAGCUCGUAGGCGGCUUGUCGCGUCGUCCGUGAAAAGCCACAGCUCAACUGUGGGCUUGCGGUCGAUACGGGCAGGCUAGAGUUCGGUAGGGGAGACUGGAAUUCCUGGUGUAGCGGUGAAAUGCGCAGAUAUCAGGAGGAACACCGGUGGCGAAGGCGGGUCUCUGGGCCGAUACUGACGCUGAGGAGCGAAAGCGUGGGGAGCGAACAGG